UUCUUCUCAUGAGCUCCUCUCUGUCUAGUCAAUGAUGGUGUAUGGAUUCGCACGAGAAGUAGAAAGAACUCACAGAUGAACAGGUGCCCCCUGCUAAAAGAGGGAGCUGCCCAAGUCUUGAUGUGAAACACAU
Small nucleolar RNA from Sardina pilchardus (European sardine), 133 nucleotides. RefSeq annotates it as small nucleolar RNA SNORA75. The transcript has a single exon. NCBI's taxonomy places the organism in Eukaryota, Metazoa, Chordata, Actinopteri, Clupeiformes, Clupeidae. The record is from RefSeq and is a predicted model, not a curated record.